CCAAGUUGAUAAACAUCGGCGUAAAGCGUGGUUAAGAAACUUCUCAACUAAAGCCGAAUGCCCUCAGAACUGUCGUACGUUUGCCGAAGGUAAGAAGCCCAUUUACGAAAGUCGCUUUAUUCCUCUGAUUCCACGAAAGCUGUGAAACAAACUGGGAUUAGAUACCCCACUAUG
This 174-nucleotide ribosomal RNA is filed under the name Parambassis ranga (Indian glassy fish). RNAcentral describes it as "partial small subunit ribosomal RNA". Lineage: Eukaryota; Metazoa; Chordata; Actinopteri; Ambassidae. The record is from RNAcentral.